RNAcentral lists this transfer RNA (65 nucleotides) under Oulema melanopus. RNAcentral describes it as "tRNA-Ser". The record is from RNAcentral. Lineage: Eukaryota; Metazoa; Arthropoda; Insecta; Coleoptera; Chrysomelidae. RNAcentral also lists the same sequence under 1 other name.
AGUUAAUGAACUUGUAUAAGUGUAUACCUUGAAAGUAUAAAAAAGAAAGAUGUUUCUAUUAACUU